Molecule: ribosomal RNA, 292 nt
Filed under: uncultured bacterium
Lineage: Bacteria
Description: partial 16S ribosomal RNA
Rfam family: Bacterial small subunit ribosomal RNA
Source: RNAcentral
GUGCCAGCAGCCGCGGUAAUACAGAGGUCUCAAGCGUUGUUCGGAUUCAUUGGGCGUAAAGGGUGCGUAGGUGGCGGGGCAAGUCUGGUGUGAAAUCCCGGGGCUCAACCCCGGAACUGCACUGGAUACUGCCUUGCUAGAGCACUGGAGAGGGAACUGGAAUUUACGGUGUAGCAGUGAAAUGCGUAGAUAUCGUAAGGAAGACCAGUGGCGAAGGCGAGUUCCUGGACAGUUGCUGACACUGAGGCACGAAGGCUAGGGGAGCAAACGGGAUUAGAUACCCCCGUAGUCC